Small nucleolar RNA from Dicentrarchus labrax (European seabass), 92 nucleotides. The record is from Ensembl. NCBI's taxonomy places the organism in Eukaryota, Metazoa, Chordata, Actinopteri, Moronidae.
AGCCGGUGAUGACAAACUAAAAUAUAAACUUUUCUGACACCUACUAUGAGAGCUGAACUCCAGCUCCUGAUUCGAACUUUCUUCUGAGGCUC